Molecule: ribosomal RNA, 495 nt
Filed under: uncultured bacterium
Lineage: Bacteria
Description: partial 16S ribosomal RNA
Rfam family: Bacterial small subunit ribosomal RNA
Source: RNAcentral
UGAACGCUGGCGGCGUGCCUAAUACAUGCAAGUCGAGCGAACAGACGAGGAGCUUGCCCCUCUGCCGUUAGCGGCGGACGGGUGAGUAACACGUGGAUAACCUACCUAUAAGACUGGGAUAACUUCGGGAAACCGGAGCUAAUACCGGAUAAUAUAUUGAACCGCAUGGUUCAAUAGUGAAAGACGGUUUUGCUGUCACUUAUAGAUGGAUCCGCGCCGCAUUAGCUAGUUGGUAAGGUAACGGCUUACCAAGGCAACGAUGCGUAGCCGACCUGAGAGGGUGAUCGGCCACACUGGAACUGAGACACGGUCCAGACUCCUACGGGAGGCAGCAGUAGGGAAUCUUCCGCAAUGGGCGAAAGCCUGACGGAGCAACGCCGCGUGAGUGAUGAAGGUCUUCGGAUCGUAAAACUCUGUUAUUAGGGAAGAACAAAUGUGUAAGUAACUAUGCACGUCUUGACGGUACCUAAUCAGAAAGCCACGGCUAACUACGUG